AGCGAAUUCCCGGAGUCACCAGCAGGAGGCGCCACAGGCCCUUUGAUAUCACUGGACAGCUGCCCGUUCAAAGACCUUUGGAUCUGGCUCUUAAUGGACAGAUGACACCAAUGGUUGAAACUUCAGCCCUUAAUACCAGUGACCCAUCGGAAGAGCCUCCAUACCCCAUCUUGUCCCAUGUGGUUCCUUGAGGAUGCGUACCUGUACCCACCAAGCAACGGCAUUUAAUAGUAAGAGCAGCAGCAGACGCAGGCCUGCUCUGGUAUAUUCCAGAUUCUGAAGCUCCAUAGACAUAUUCCAAGGUCAGUGUCUCUCAGCAAUUCAGGAAGAAAAAGAGAAGAUGGCAGAAGGCAAAGAGGAAGAAAACCAAGCUGAUGAGGUGGCAGAAUGGAAAGUGAAACAAAGGAGAAGUGUGACUGAAAUGUGUGGAUUAAGGGAAAGGGUAAAGCAGCAUCUAGAAAGGAGAAAGCUCCUGACUCCAGACUAAAGCCCCUGGUGUUCUCCAGAGGAGUAACACCCUGGAAGAAAGUCAUUUACCUGGGACUUCCACAGCCACAGGGAGAUGAAACGUGGAAGGGAAAAUAAGCCAGACAUCGCCACUCUUGGGUCAAAGUCCUGUCGAGCAAAUGAAAAGCAAAUACCAACGCAAAGGAAUAGGUAGAAGUUGCUGUAGCACACUUGUCCCCAGAGUCCUGGCCUUGGUCAGAUAACCCCAACUCAUCUACAGGACACAGACUCAAAUUAUGACUGCUGGCUGCAUGGGAUGUCAACAGGGUUGAAAGCAGGGUCUUCACUAUCAUUGCACGGGCCUCUGCCACUUGAACUAAAAGAGCAGCUCCAGUAGCCGCCGGCAGUAUUAAGUUGUUAUCCUCCUAAAGGACCAGCAACGAGAAGGAGACAUGACCCUCACUGUGCCAAUGUACUAUCUAAAGGAGAGGCUGAAAUCAAGUACAUCUGUCAACCAGAAGGAACCCAUGGGGUCACAUUUUCAUCUCUGAUUGAAGGGGCUUUAAUGUUGGUGAACGGGGCUGGAUCGCUGCCUCAGUUCCAUAGAGCUUUGCUGGUUUGGGAGCCAGGGGAGGGGGCUCUCUACAUAUGUGAUGGUUUUAUAAUCAGUCAGCGAUCGCUAUCCUAUAUAAUUUGAGGCUGAGAUUUUAAAAACAGCCUCCACGAGCUGGAUGCUCAAUCCCAUUAAAUGCAUGCCUGAACCCCUCAGUGGCUUUGGACAAAUCCUCCUCCAAAAAAUUUUACAAUGUUACAUUUUUUCCACUUUUUACAAUUAAUUUCCCCCUCCCACUUACCGAAAGUCAGUGGAGUCACUCCAGAUUCACAGUGGUAUCUGUCAGAACAGGACCGGGCCAUUCCCGUUACACUGCUAUACCAGGAGAGCGAGCUGGAGCCAAAGAACAGAUGCAGCGUCUGUCACGGCAAUGCAGAUUUCCCCAGCUCAUUGCCCUGACCCAGAGAGCCAGCAUCUAACGAGACGAGGGAGCCCCAGUCCGUCUCCAGGAUCCAUUCUGUCCUGUGCCUUCUAGAGCUGUCCAUUAACUGAUUCUUGUUUUGACUGGUAAACUGGGACAUUUGACCUGGAGAUUAUUGGCACAAAAUAAUGACAGGGAACUUUCCCCAUUGUGAACUUAAUAGGAACUUCCAGUUUAGGGUGAAUUCUUGAAAAUAAAGGUGAGUCACCCGCCAGCAUAGGUCAUUCUCCCACAACACAAAUUCUGAACUAAGAACUCCCUAGAGCUCCAGAUGGGGCUGGUGGUGGGAUGAGCAUGC
This is a long non-coding RNA of Mauremys mutica (yellowpond turtle), 1779 nucleotides long. RefSeq lists it as uncharacterized. NCBI's taxonomy places the organism in Eukaryota, Metazoa, Chordata, Testudines, Geoemydidae. The record is from RefSeq and is a predicted model, not a curated record. The transcript has 4 exons.